RNAcentral lists this ribosomal RNA (253 nucleotides) under uncultured bacterium. Its description in RNAcentral is "partial 16S ribosomal RNA". It matches the Rfam family "Bacterial small subunit ribosomal RNA", at positions 524 to 776 of the family's 1533-position model. The record is from RNAcentral.
UACGUAGGGUGCAAGCGUUGUCCGGAAUUAUUGGGCGUAAAGAGCUCGUAGGUGGCCUGUCGCGUCGGCUGUGAAAACUCGGGGCUUAACUCCGAGCUUGCAGUCGAUACGGGCAGGCUAGAGUUCGGCAGGGGAGACUGGAAUUCCUGGUGUAGCGGUGAAAUGCGCAGAUAUCAGGAGGAACACCGGUGGCGAAGGCGGGUCUCUGGGCCGAUACUGACACUGAGGAGCGAAAGCGUGGGGAGCGAACAGG